Long non-coding RNA from Peromyscus maniculatus bairdii (prairie deer mouse), 488 nucleotides. RefSeq lists it as uncharacterized. Lineage: Eukaryota; Metazoa; Chordata; Mammalia; Rodentia; Cricetidae. The record is from RefSeq and is a predicted model, not a curated record.
GCAGAACAGAAAGGCAUAUAGGGGUGGGUAGACAGGAAGUAGGUCUCUUUGGCUGAGGAUCUCCAGGCAGAUGCUGGUGGUCACGAAGGUUUAGACAGAGAGGCCUACCCCUACGUGGAAGCAUGGGGCCACUGUGCAGAGAUCAGAUACGGCAAAGCACCAGUUCCAAAACCAGCGUCUCCCUUCCGCAGCCCCUCAUCUCCCACGACCCUCUCCAGCUGCUUGGGAGGCUGUCUUGUCAUCUUGACUAGAGCACCUGACCUCCCUCUCACAAGACCCCUGCUUUUCUCUUGAUGAGCUGCUGGAGAAGAACAGACAGACUGAAGAUAGGCACAUGGAGAACACUGUAUUUCAAAGGCAGAAACCAUCAUGGUGCAGUCCUCUGGGCUUACUGUAUGAACAGCAGUAUGCCACAAUUCAUAUCAAUAUAUCCCGAGUUCAGUUCCCAGCACCCAUGCUGGGCAGCUCACAGCUGCCUGGAGUUCCAG